RNAcentral lists this ribosomal RNA (253 nucleotides) under uncultured Pseudomonadales bacterium. RNAcentral's name for it is "partial 16S ribosomal RNA". It matches the Rfam family "Bacterial small subunit ribosomal RNA", at positions 524 to 778 of the family's 1533-position model. The record is from RNAcentral. Lineage: Bacteria; Pseudomonadati; Pseudomonadota; Gammaproteobacteria; Pseudomonadales.
UACGAAGGGUGCAAGCGUUAAUCGGAAUUACUGGGCGUAAAGCGCGCGUAGGUGGUUCAGCAAGUUGGAUGUGAAAGCCCCGGGCUCAACCUGGGAACUGCAUCCAAAACUACUGAGCUAGAGUACGGUAGAGGGUGGUGGAAUUUCCUGUGUAGCGGUGAAAUGCGUAGAUAUAGGAAGGAACACCAGUGGCGAAGGCGACCACUGGACUGAUACUGACACUGAGGUGCGAAAGCGUGUGAGCAAACAGGAU